UUGGGGAAUACCCACCGACCGAUCGAUGGCCGGAGGGACCGACCGACCGACCUACGGUCGAAGGGACCGACCGACCGACGGUCGGAGGGACCGACCGACUUACGGUCGAAGGGACCGACCGACCGACCGUCGGCCGGAGCGACCGACUGAUGGGCGCCAUCACCAGCCAAUUGACGGCCCAUCACCGACUGAGGAUAUGUCGGGCAUACCUUUCCCGACCGACUGAAUCCGGAGGUCUGAUGGCCGACUCACGUAAGGUUCACCGACCAACGGAGGGGCCCGACGCCACUCAGCUGGCCACCGACCUAGGGUCGGUCGACUCCUCUGAUCGCCGUACAGCCGCCAGACCUUGUCAGUUCUGACAGCAACAUGCGGCACGGCCAUCUAGGGGC
RNAcentral lists this long non-coding RNA (392 nucleotides) under Elaeis guineensis (African oil palm). Its description in RNAcentral is "long non-coding RNA (EGUI_LNC065260)". Lineage: Eukaryota; Viridiplantae; Streptophyta; Magnoliopsida; Arecales; Arecaceae. The record is from RNAcentral.